Molecule: long non-coding RNA, 969 nt
Organism: Lontra canadensis (Northern American river otter)
Lineage: Eukaryota; Metazoa; Chordata; Mammalia; Carnivora; Mustelidae
Exons: 4
Source: RefSeq, a predicted model, not a curated record
AGGUUUGGUCCUUUGGACUUCUGUUGGUUUGUAAAAGACUGUGGGAAGUUGCCCAGCCUUGGGCUUUGAAGAAAUAGUGCUCUUGGACAAGUUCUUGGCUCUUCACUUCUCUUAUUGAUAAAAUGGGGAUAUCUACCUGGAGUGCUGAAAAGAUCAAAGCCAGGCCUGCUUUGAACUGUGGCAGUAAUGCUACAUCCAUCUGACAUUAUGCGGAAGGGAACGAAAAGAUGCCAACAUUAAUGAGCUCCUACUAUGUGCCAGGCAUUUUACAGACAUUAUUUCUUUAUAGCCCUCUGAGACAUUUCUGAACACUGUCACAGGGAAAGCAGGGAUGGAAUUGUCGAAGUCUGCAUGGGUUUGGAUGUGGUUGGCUGCUUAGUUAAGUAUGGUCUGUAAACAAAAUAUUCCCUCUGCCUGGAAAGUGUGACACUCCCCACCUGUCUUCCAGGACCCUCCACGUGCAGGGGCACUCUGCCUUCCUUUCCCCAUCUCCUUCCCUCUGAAAGGGCUGGUUCUGACUCAGCUUUGGUCCACUGUUGCCGUUUUGGAACUCAGGUUCAGAGUUCUCAGGUCUUUUGAUUCUUUUCUUUGAAGACAAGCCAGAAAUCAAGAUUAAUUUGUGAAAAACCAUUCAAAGUUUUGAAAAACGCUAUGGAACCAAACAAACACUUACGUGGGCUACAUCUGACCUGCAGUUUGUGACUCUUGCCCUAAAUCCUUCUCUCCUACCACAUGUCACUUUUUACUCCAGUGAUUUCCAUGGCAACCAGCUUCACACAGGUGUAACCUGAUGGCACCAUACAUCUACUUUCUGCAGCAGAAAGUGCACACAUGCACAAUCCGGAAAAGCAGGGGUGUUAAUACCCCAUGAGACAGUGGAUGACCGAUGGGGAGCAAAUCCCUGUAGGAUGGAGCCCCUUUGUUCACAAAGCAAUAACUUACUCUUGAAUUGACUGUCCCUUCUUUACU